RNAcentral lists this ribosomal RNA (479 nucleotides) under uncultured Flammeovirgaceae bacterium. RNAcentral describes it as "bacterial SSU rRNA". It matches the Rfam family "Bacterial small subunit ribosomal RNA", at positions 28 to 505 of the family's 1533-position model. The record is from RNAcentral. Lineage: Bacteria; Pseudomonadati; Bacteroidota; Cytophagia; Cytophagales; Flammeovirgaceae.
GAUGAACGCUAGCGGCAGGCCUAAUACAUGCAAGUCGAGGGGUAACAUGGUCUUCGGACUGAUGACGACCGGCGCACGGGUGCGUAACGCGUAUGCAACCUACCCUUUACAGGGGGAUAGCCCAGAGAAAUUUGGAUUAAUACCCCAUAGUAUAAUUGAUUGGCAUCGAUUAAUUAUUAAAGAUUUAUUGGUAAAGGAUGGGCAUGCGUAAGAUUAGUUAGUUGGUGAGGUAAUGGCUCACCAAGGCAUCGAUCUUUAGGGGUUCUGAGAGGAUGAUCCCCCACACUGGUACUGAGAUACGGACCAGACUUCUACGGGAGGCAGCAGUAGGGAAUAUUGGUCAAUGGACGAGAGUCUGAACCAGCCAUGCCGCGUGCAGGAAGACGGCCUUCUGGGUUGUAAACUGCUUUUAUAUGGGAAGAAAAGAGUCCUGCGGGACUAAUUGCCGGUACCAUAAGAAUAAGCACCGGCUAACUCCG